This 252-nucleotide ribosomal RNA is filed under the name uncultured bacterium. RNAcentral describes it as "partial 16S ribosomal RNA". It matches the Rfam family "Bacterial small subunit ribosomal RNA", at positions 524 to 776 of the family's 1533-position model. The record is from RNAcentral.
UAUGGAGGAUGCGAGCGUUAUCCGGAUUUAUUGGGUUUAAAGGGUGCGUAGGCGGAAUAUCAAGUCAGCGGUAAAAAUUCGGGGCUCAACCCCGUCGUGCCGUUGAAACUGAUGUUCUUGAGUGGGCGAGAAGUAUGCGGAAUGCGUGGUGUAGCGGUGAAAUGCAUAGAUAUCACGCAGAACUCCGAUUGCGAAGGCAGCAUACCGGCGCCCAACUGACGCUGAAGCACGAAAGCGUGGGUAUCGAACAGG